AUUGAACGCUGGCGGCAGGCUUAACACAUGCAAGUCGAACGGUAACAUAAAGAAGCUUGCUUCUUUGAUGACGAGUGGCGGACGGGUGAGUAAUGCUUGGGAAUCUAGCUUAUGGAGGGGGAUAACUACGGGAAACUGUAGCUAAUACCGCGUAAUAUCGAAAGAUUAAAGUGUGGGACCUUCGGGCCACAUGCCAUAGGAUGAGCCCAAGUGGGAUUAGGCAGUUGGUGAGGUAAAGGCUCACCAAGCCGACGAUCUCUAGCUGGUCUGAGAGGAUGACCAGCCACACUGGGACUGAGACACGGCCCAGACUCCUACGGGAGGCAGCAGUGGGGAAUAUUGCGCAAUGGGGGCAACCCUGACGCAGCCAUGCCGCGUGAAUGAAGAAGGCCUUCGGGUUGUAAAGUUCUUUCGGUAGCGAGGAAGGCAUUUAGUUUAAUAGACUAGGUGAGUGACGUAA
Molecule: ribosomal RNA, 460 nt
Filed under: Parahaemophilus parainfluenzae
Lineage: Bacteria; Pseudomonadati; Pseudomonadota; Gammaproteobacteria; Pasteurellales; Pasteurellaceae
Description: Haemophilus parainfluenzae bacterial SSU rRNA
Rfam family: Bacterial small subunit ribosomal RNA
Source: RNAcentral